AGAUGUGAGAGUCAUCUGGCUGUGAAGUGUCACCUCAUUGAUCACCAUGGUUGAUUCAGAUGACCUCGUUGACUAAAUAAGUUUCCCUUCCUCGCCACAGCUCCAUGUCUGUCCUAAAGCUGUACCUUAAGGUGCACAAGUGCACCAGGGAUGGUGGGUCACACCUUUAAUCUCAG
Molecule: small nuclear RNA, 176 nt
Filed under: Mus musculus (house mouse)
Lineage: Eukaryota; Metazoa; Chordata; Mammalia; Rodentia; Muridae
Description: 7SK RNA
Rfam family: 7SK RNA
About the family: 7SK was discovered as an abundant small nuclear RNA in the mid-70s but a possible function has only recently been suggested.
Source: Rfam by way of RNAcentral